RNAcentral lists this ribosomal RNA (498 nucleotides) under uncultured bacterium. RNAcentral describes it as "partial 16S ribosomal RNA". It matches the Rfam family "Bacterial small subunit ribosomal RNA", at positions 30 to 523 of the family's 1533-position model. The record is from RNAcentral.
AUUGAACGCUGGCGGCAUGCCUAACACAUGCAAGUCGAACGGUAACAGGUCUUUGGAUGCUGACGAGUGGCGAACGGGUGAGUAAUACAUCGGAACGUGCCUAGUAGUGGGGGAUAACUACUCGAAAGAGUGGCUAAUACCGCAUGAGAUCUACGGAUGAAAGCAGGGGAUCGCAAGACCUUGUGCUACUAGAGCGGCCGAUGGCAGAUUAGGUAGUUGGUGGGAUAAAAGCUUACCAAGCCGACGAUCUGUAGCUGGUCUGAGAGGACGAUCAGCCACACUGGGACUGAGACACGGCCCAGACUCCUACGGGAGGCAGCAGUGGGGAAUUUUGGACAAUGGGCGCAAGCCUGAUCCAGCAAUGCCGCGUGCAGGAUGAAGGCCUUCGGGUUGUAAACUGCUUUUGUACGGAACGAAAAGCCCUGGGUUAAUACCCUGGGGUCAUGACGGUACCGUAAGAAUAAGCACCGGCUAACUACGUGCCAGCCGCCGCCGUAA